UGUCUGCUCUUGGCUUGAUGUUCUUUCUCCAAGUGAUCCUUAAGAAACCAUUUUGGUUUAGAGCCUGUGUUUGCUUUGGUUUGCCUCCUAUAGGAGCAUGUGUUGAAGACACUGUCCUCAGUAUGGUGACAUCUUUAAGAGGUAGGACCUAGUGGAAGGCAGGCAGGUCACUGGAGUGCUGCCCCAGAAGGGAUUAAUGCUCUGUCUGAUUAGGUGCUCUUAAAAAGCAAGAUAUCCUAGAACAUCAAGCCUGGCCACCAAAUGGGUCACUGACUUCCUGUCUCAUUCCAUAAACUCUUGUUCACACUCAUUUCCACCAUAGUGGAAUCUACCAAGCCAUGCUGCCAGGAGCAACUAGGAAAAGACUAGAUGGAGAUGCUGCUCCAUCUUUUACUUUCAGAGUCUACAACUGCAAGCUAAAUAAACCUCCUUGCUUUAUAAAAUACCUCUUGAGCAUGUUGUUAGAACAGAAAAUGAACUCAUCUACUAAUAGGCCACUGUCAAAAUGAAUGCCAUGUUUGUUAUAGGUCUUUAGCAGUUUUCAAGACUCUUGGAAGGAAAGAACAGUGUGAAUUACAGAUAUAAUUUAAUAAAUUAUAGCAUUGGAUAUGAGAAGAGGAAUAAGUUUGGUAACAGAAUGAUGGCAUAGCAUUUACUAUAUAUGUGGGUUUUUAGGUGCCAAGCAUCUGUAACAACAUGUAAAAGAUGAAUAAAAGCAGUGCUCUAACUUACUUACUAGAGUGUAUGGGCCUUGCUUUGUUUCAGCAAUGAUUCACUGGGCACUGGUUUUUAUUUUGGAAGUAUGUGGAGUACUUGGGACACAAGAAAAAAAGCAAAUUUUCCAUUUUUAAGGUUCUGAGAGGCACAGUUGGGGUUCUAGAAAUUAGAAGAAGACUUAGAUUUUCUUCUCUGUGCAGUGCCAGUGCUGAGAGUGGACAGACGGCCUACCAGAUUUAAAAAAUGUAUUCUACUGUAGGUGCUAACUUAUUAAUAAAUGUUAGGUAUAAAAUAUAUUAUGACUUAUUAUAAACAUAAGCUGAAAAUUGCUGAAGGUUAUUAGCCUCCUUUAUUGAAUCCUUAUGCUCACUGACUCCUUGUCUGCCCCUGAGCCUCUGCAAGUACCUUCUCUGUCUUUUACUGUAUUGACUAUUUUAGCAACUUCACAUACAUGGAAUCAUGCAGUGUUUAUCCUUUAGUGGUGUCUUAACUUAUUUUUUAAUGAAGUAAAAAAGGAAAUCUCAAGAAUGGAAGAAUACUUGGCAACCACAUAUCUAAUAAGGUUGAUGUCUAAGUUAUAGAGGAACUCUACAACUAAAGAGAAAUAAAUAAGUAGAUAUUCAACCUGGGAGGUGAUGGUGCAGGCCUUUAAUCUCAGCACUCAGGAGGCAAAAGCUGGUGGAUCUCUUUCUCUUUCUCUGAAUUUGAGGCCAGCCUGGUCUACAGAAUGAGUUCCAGGACAAGCAGGACUACACAAAGAACCCUUUC
Molecule: long non-coding RNA, 1485 nt
Filed under: Mus musculus (house mouse)
Lineage: Eukaryota; Metazoa; Chordata; Mammalia; Rodentia; Muridae
Description: long non-coding RNA chr13:81090611-81092096
Source: RNAcentral